GGUGGCUCAGUGGUAGAGAGCUUGCCUUGCAUGCAUGAGGCCCUGGGUUCAAUUCCUCAGCACCA
Dipodomys ordii (Ord's kangaroo rat) is the source of this 65-nucleotide non-coding RNA. Lineage: Eukaryota; Metazoa; Chordata; Mammalia; Rodentia; Heteromyidae. The record is from Rfam.